GACGAACGCUGGCGGCGUGCUUAACACAUGCAACUCGAACGGAAAGGCCUCUUUCGGGGGGUACUCGAGUGGCGAACGGGUGAGUAACACGUGAGUAACCUGCCCUUGACUUUGGGAUAACUUCAGGAAACUGGGGCUAAUACCGGAUAGGAGCUCCUGCUGCAUGGUGGGGGUUGGAAAGUUUCGGCGGUUGGGGAUGGACUCGCGGCUUAUCAGCUUGUUGGUGGGGUAGUGGCUUACCAAGGCUUUGACGGGUAGCCGGCCUGAGAGGGUGACCGGCCACAUUGGGACUGAGAUACGGCCCAGACUCCUACGGGAGGCAGCAGUGGGGAAUAUUGCACAAUGGGUGGAAGCCUGAUGCAGCAACGCCGUGUGCGGGAUGACGGCCUUCGGGUUGUAAACCGCUUUCGCUCAUGACGAAGCUUUGUGUGACGGUAGUGGGUAAAGAAGCACCGGCUAACUACGUG
Molecule: ribosomal RNA, 467 nt
Filed under: uncultured bacterium
Lineage: Bacteria
Description: partial 16S ribosomal RNA
Rfam family: Bacterial small subunit ribosomal RNA
Source: RNAcentral